This 440-nucleotide ribosomal RNA is filed under the name uncultured bacterium. RNAcentral's name for it is "partial 16S ribosomal RNA". It matches the Rfam family "Bacterial small subunit ribosomal RNA", at positions 338 to 795 of the family's 1533-position model. The record is from RNAcentral.
CCUACGGGUGGCAGCAGUAGGGAAUAUUGCUCAAUGGGGGAAACCCUGAAGCAGCAAAGCCGCGUGGAGGAUGAAGGUUUUCGGAUUGUAAAAUCCUUUUGUUAGAGGAGAUAAUGACGGUAUCUAACGAAUAAGCACCGGCUAACUCCGUGCCAGCAGCCGCGGUAAUACGGAGGGUGCAAGCGUUACUCGGAAUCACUGGGCGUAAAGAGCGCGUAGGCGGGAUAGCAAGUCAGAUGUGAAAUCCUAUGGCUUAACCAUAGAACUGCAUUGCAAACUGUUAUUCUAGAGUAUGGGAGAGGUAGGUGGAAUUCUUGGUGUAGGGGUAAAAUCCGUAGAGAUCAAGAGGAAUACUGAUUGCGAAGGCGACUUGCUAGAGCAGAACUGACGCUGAUGCGCGAAAGCGUGGGGAGCGAACAGGAUUAGAUACCCGUGUAGUC